RNAcentral lists this ribosomal RNA (468 nucleotides) under uncultured bacterium. RNAcentral's name for it is "partial 16S ribosomal RNA". It matches the Rfam family "Bacterial small subunit ribosomal RNA", at positions 28 to 507 of the family's 1533-position model. The record is from RNAcentral.
GAUGAACGCUGGCGGCGUGCUUAACACAUGCAAGUCGAACGGAAAGGCCAGUGCUUGCACUGGUACUCGAGUGGCGAACGGGUGAGUAACACGUGGGUGAUCUGCCCUGCACUUCGGGAUAAGCCUGGGAAACUGGGUCUAAUACCGGAUAGGACAAUGGUUUGGAUGCCGUUGUGGAAAGUUUUUUCGGUGUGGGAUGAGCUCGCGGCCUAUCAGCUUGUUGGUGGGGUAAUGGCCUACCAAGGCGUCGACGGGUAGCCGGCCUGAGAGGGUGUACGGCCACAUUGGGACUGAGAUACGGCCCAGACUCCUACGGGAGGCAGCAGUGGGGAAUAGUGCACAAUGGGCGCAAGCCUGAUGCAGCGACGCCGCGUGGGGGAUGACGGCCUUCGGGUUGUAAACUCCUUUCGCUAGGGACGAAGCGUAUUUGUGACGGUACCUGGAGAAGAAGCACCGGCUAGCUACGUG